AACCAUUAAGGCGAUGGAGUUCGCCAAAACCGCGUGGGGCUGCCCCCAAGCUAAUGACUCCUACCUGCCG
Thiomonas intermedia K12 is the source of this 70-nucleotide non-coding RNA. The record is from Rfam. NCBI's taxonomy places the organism in Bacteria, Pseudomonadati, Pseudomonadota, Betaproteobacteria, Burkholderiales.